AGUGACGAGCCUCUUGACAAACGGGGAUUAUUAGAAGAAAGAAUGAAUUUAAGUCGUCUAAAACUUGCUAUCAAAUAUAACCAAAAAGAGUUUGUCUCCCAGUCUAACUGCCAGCAGUUCCUGAACACUGUUUGGUUUGGACAGAUGUCAGGUUACCGACGCAAGCCCACCUGUAAGAAGAUAAUGACUGUUUUGACAGUAGGCAUCUUUUGGCCAGUUUUGUCACUUUGUUAUUUGAUAGCUCCCAAAUCUCAGUUUGGCAGAAUCAUUCACACACCUUUUAUGAAAUUUAUCAUUCAUGGAGCAUCAUAUUUCACAUUCCUGCUUUUGCUUAAUCUAUACUCUCUUGUCUACAAUGAGGAUAAGAAAAACACAAUGGGGCCAGCCCUUGAAAGAAUAGACUAUCUUCUUAUUCUGUGGAUUAUUGGUAAGUAUCAAGUUAGUUUGAAAGGUUUUGUCUUUAUUUAGCCCACUAAUUCCUUCUUGAUUGAUGGCAUUGUGAAUAUUGGGUUCAAUUUGCAAUUUUACACUGUUCACACCACAAGAAUUUGAACACUUCCAUGAUCACUGAAGACUUAACUAACAUGUCUGUAAAGAUAAAUGUUCCUGAACUUGAUGAUAAGGAAGCAUAUCUCUUAUUUAAUAUUUCUUAAAUACAUGGAAUUUUAAAAUUA
This 674-nucleotide small RNA is filed under the name Pongo abelii (Sumatran orangutan). Its description in RNAcentral is "retained intron". Lineage: Eukaryota; Metazoa; Chordata; Mammalia; Primates; Hominidae. The record is from RNAcentral.